UGAGGGUCUCAGCUGAAUUCCACUCUUACCUCCACACCGUGUCCCCCACCAAAGGAAAAUGCCCCUCAGCCAUUUUCUUAGCUCACUUGAUUGAAUGAUUGCAAACUGUCACCCUUUGCUUUGGGUUUCACAGAUGCAGUAUCAGACAUUCCUUUUUUCCAGAGGUCUUUCUCUUUUGCUGAUUUCAAAUUUAAUGCUGGUUAACAGGUCGGGCUGGAUGAUUGCCCUAGCCCUACAGUGGCUGAGCAGGGACUUUAGGGAAAAAAAAUCUUGAUCUUUCUUUCCUUUUGCAUUCCCUCUUUCUGAGAGGCAGAGAAAUAUUUUGAAAGGUAUUUUUAGUUUUAAAUAGCAAAACACAAGCUGUAUUUUUUAUUUAUUGUGCCCAAGAAAGGUAAAUCUGUUUUUACAAAAGGAAAAAAAUCUAGAGUUGGAAACUCUGGGAAAACCUAUUGAAAUACACAAAUGCUUCUGUCUGUAAUGUGCAAUAUGCUUUGCAACUAUAGAUGAUAUUUUAUGUGUAAUCUGUAAAUAAGAAAUGUAUUUAAAUUAAAAGGGAGCUUUUUGUAAAAGGACCAAAUGUUCUUUUAUAAAUGUACUAAGAAAUAUCUUGCUCUUGGAAAUUUAUUAGGAUUUUUAUGAG
This 640-nucleotide long non-coding RNA is filed under the name Bos taurus (domestic cattle). Its description in RNAcentral is "long non-coding RNA NONBTAT013658". Lineage: Eukaryota; Metazoa; Chordata; Mammalia; Artiodactyla; Bovidae. The record is from RNAcentral.